CUUGGAGGAGCUGUGACACUGGAUAGUCUGUCAUCGCACGUGACAGAGCUCCUCCAUUCACCAGUAACAGAAAGUUCCCGGCAGCCCCACAGCGGUGCACACAGGGAAACGAAGGGUCCGGCACAGGCGCAGAUGAGCGCACGUCGCGGGAGCGUGACGUCACCGGCCCUGCGUCCAGCGGUUCCUGUCUCCAUGUGGGUGUCUUCACGGGUGUUUUAAAGUAUAAAGGAAACGAAGGGUCCGGCACAGGCGCAGAUGAGCGCACGUCGCGGGAGCGUGACGUCACCGGCCCUGCGUCCAGCGGUUCCUGUCUCCAUGUGGGUGUCUUCACGGGUGUUUUAAAGUAUAAAGGAAACGAAGGGUCCGGCACAGGCGCAGAUGAGCGCACGUCGCGGGAGCGUGACGUCACCGGCCCUGCGUCCAGCGGUUCCUGUCUCCAUGUGGGUGUCUUCACGGGUGUUUUAAAGUAUAAAGGAAACGAAGGGUCCGGCACAGGCGCAGAUGAGCGCACGUCGCGGGAGCGUGACGUCACCGGCCCUGCGUCCAGCGGUUCCUGUCUCCAUGUGGGUGUCUUCACGGGUGUUUUAAAGUAUAAAGACAGGUGAAAUGAAUUGGAUCACCCAAUAGAACAUAAAAGGAGACCUUAGUGGUCAUUUGGUAUAUGCUCCUGAGGAAGCUGGUCACAUUACACCAGUGAAACGUGUUGAGCCUAAACACCACUGUGCCUUGCCGUCUGGAUCUCCUACUUGCAUGCUGGAUUUCAAGCUCCUUUGACCAAACGGAUUCCCCGCUUUACAGAGAACUCUUUCCUAGCUGAGGAAAAAAGUGGACUGCACCACCAUUACCUUGGCCUACCGGUAUCUAUUAAUCUCACCUCCAGACUUUGCUUAGUCUAAAAUCUGGUGAUGCUACUUUUCCCAAUGAUUGAAUGUAUCUAUGAGUCCUAGCCAGCCCUUUUGUGGAGACCUUUGGCAACCAUGCUACACCAGCACAG
This is a long non-coding RNA of Pseudophryne corroboree (corroboree frog), 994 nucleotides long. RefSeq lists it as uncharacterized. The record is from RefSeq and is a predicted model, not a curated record. NCBI's taxonomy places the organism in Eukaryota, Metazoa, Chordata, Amphibia, Anura, Myobatrachidae. The transcript is spliced from 6 exons.